This 2182-nucleotide long non-coding RNA is filed under the name Mytilus galloprovincialis (Mediterranean mussel). Lineage: Eukaryota; Metazoa; Mollusca; Bivalvia; Mytilida; Mytilidae. The record is from RNAcentral.
AUAAAAGCAAAACUAAUUCAUUACAGACCAACAGGGUUUUAAUACAGAGCCGUUAUAAAUAAACAGGGCUAUUAUGAACAAAACAGGGUUAUUGUGAAAUUAUUAUGGAUUUUCAAUUCAAAUACAUUUUAGUAUAUCACAACUCAUCUUGUAUGAAUUUGUUUAAUUCUAAGUUUGAAAAUCCAGAAUGAAAUCUUGUAUUUUGUAAGUGAUGAGUUCUUUGAAUAGGACAACAAUAAAACUAUAUUUACAUUUUCAUGUUAUAAUUGAUUACCAAUGUGAGCGACACAUGUACUUUAGAGCCACUAGUUUUCUAAAUUCAUCAAGAGACUAUACCAUUCAGUAUAUAAUUUUUAAAGUAAUAAGAGAUGCAUCUUUAGUUCCUUGUGAACCAUCUCAAAUAAGUGUUGCCUCAUCAGCAUAUUGUAAUUUCAAAAAUUCUGAAUCUUCAAUGCAAACUUUUUUACAUAAACAAAUUGCACACUUUUUUACAUAAACAAUUAUUUAUAUCUAUUUAUGUAUCAUUUUAUUUUAAUCAACAUCAAAAUGGUUUCUUUUUGAACAUGUCUUAUAGGUCUGCAUAAAGAGUCCUAACUUCUAUGUAAGUCAGAAUAGAGAUAUUUCAUAUCAGAUAUUAAAGGUUUCUUUGAGAUUUAUACAUGACUUUUGUGUAUUGCAUAAUUUGUUAAACAAUUAAUCACCGUUUAUUCCUCUGCUUACAAUUUUAUGCAAACAAUGUAAUGGUGCUAUAAUUUUCAAUAAACUGACUGCACUGUAUUAUUUUAUAAAUAAGUACAUUUUAGUUUGACGGCAAUUUGAGGCACUGCCCCCUAGUCACUUUAAAUUUAAUUUUCAAUUUUCAAUGUUAUGUUUUCUGCUUAAGUUAGUGUGAUAGGAUCUAAUUGUGAUUAUAGAUCAAUGAUAUUUUGUAUGAUAUGUCAUUACUAUCACAUAAUCAGUACAUAUAUGUUUGACAACUAUUUUGAGGUCCUGGCCCCUAGGACAUGGUCCAGUGACUUAAAAAGCAAUAUUCAAUGUUAAGUUUUCUGCUUAAAAAUGUUUGUAUCUUUUGACUCUCUUUUUUUCCUGACAUUCUAUAAAUAAUCUGAAUGUUGGGUGACCAUUUGUGGGUAAUAGACUUGAAUUCUAAGAAAUCAGAAAAUAUAGGUAUGUCUUGGAAAGAGUAUAAAGCAUAUCUUUUGAUCUUACUUUUUAAAAUUUCUGUGAUUUAUGUUCACUUAGUUUAUUGACAUUCUUUGUUGUAACUUUAUCUAUUUAUGUUUUAUUUUAUUUAUUUAUUCUCUCUAUUUUGUUCAGUGUCUUUCUUUAUGUUGAUUGUGUAAAUUUAUCUGUUUUGUAGUAUAAUGUUUAGCUAAAUAUCAUGAUAGCAUGAAAUUCUUCACAUUCCAAAGAAUUAUACAAAAUUCCAUCUCAGAAAAAAAACAUGUUUGCCAUUUUGCCAUAUCAAUGUAGACAAUUUUACACUGGGAAUACUAAUUACAACUCCAAUGAACUCGGUGCACAAAAUUUUGCUUAAAAAUUAACCCUCUUUUUGAUUUCAAUAAAAUUGUCAAUUUACUUGUUCCAAAAUUGACAGCAAAUUUAAUGAGUUGUUAUACCAGCACCUGUUAAAAAUGUAGAUGAAGGAUUUUUCCUUUGACAUAAAAGUUAUUCUCCAUCACUCCUUGAGUUGUAUACUAAUGUACAACCAUUAAAGAUCUCAUACAUCAGUGGCGGAUCCAGAACUUUUCAUAAGGGGGGGCCCUCUGGUUGACCUAAGGGAGGGGCCGCUCCAGUCAUGCUUCAGUGAUUCCCUAUAUAAUCAACCAAAUUUUUCCCACGAAAGCAACCCCCCCCCCCCCCUGGAUCCGCCUAUGAUACUUCAUAUCUUAUUGUUCAAAGUGGCAUUCUUAUUUUUAAUGGCACCCCUUGACAACUUUUCUCCAUCUGUUUAGAUAAGCUAUAUUACUCCAAACAAAUAUGCAAAAUAAUGUUGAUGCAUAUAUGGUGUGUGUAAAUUUUGUGGUUAUUAUUGUUACGUUCAUACUUCAUAUAACAUUUUUUAUAGAUUUAUUUAAUGAAGAUAAUCAAGAAAAUAUUGUUGCAUAUUUAUUUAUAGUUUAUAAAUGUAUUUAUCACAUAAUAAAAAAAUAUUUUUAUACUUCAUAAUUUUACAAUUAAU